Molecule: ribosomal RNA, 492 nt
Filed under: uncultured bacterium
Lineage: Bacteria
Description: partial 16S ribosomal RNA
Rfam family: Bacterial small subunit ribosomal RNA
Source: RNAcentral
AGUGAACGCUGGCGGUAGGCCUAACACAUGCAAGUCGAACGGCAGCACAGUAAGAGCUUGCUCUUACGGGUGGCGAGUGGCGGACGGGUGAGGAAUACAUCGGAAUCUACUUUUUCGUGGGGGAUAACGUAGGGAAACUUACGCUAAUACCGCAUACGACCUACGGGUGUAAGCAUGGGAUCUUCGGACCUUGCGCGAUUGAAUGAGCCGAUGUCGGAUUAGCUAGUUGGCGGGGUAAAGGCCCACCAAGGCGACGAUCCGUAGCUGGUCUGAGAGGAUGAUCAGCCACACUGGAACUGAACCACGGUCCAGACUACUACGGGAGGCAGCAGUGGGGAAUAUUAGACAAUAGGCGCAAGCCUGAUCCAGCCAUACCGCGUGGGUGAAGAAGGCCUUCGGGUUGUAAAGCCCUUUUGUUGGGAAAGAAAAGCAGCAGGUUAAUACCCCGCUGUUCUGACGGUACCCAAAGAAUAAGCACCGGCUAACUUCGUG